UUAUACCGUGAAACUGCGAAUGGCUCAUUAAAUCAGUUAUCGUUUAUUUGAUAGUACCUUACUACUUGGAUAACCGUGGUAAUUCUAGAGCUAAUACAUGCUAAAAACCCCGACUUCGGAAGGGGUGUAUUUAUUAGAUAAAAAACCAACGCCCUUCGGGGCUUCUUGGUGAUUCAUGAUAACUUUACGGAUCGCAUGGCCUUGCGCCGGCGACGGUUCAUUCAAAUUUCUGCCCUAUCAACUUUCGAUGGUAAGGUAUUGGCUUACCAUGGUUUCAACGGGUAACGGGGAAUUAGGGUUCGAUUCCGGAGAGGGAGCCUGAGAAACGGCUACCACAUCCAAGGAAGGCAGCAGGCGCGCAAAUUACCCAAUCCCGACACGGGGAGGUAGUGACAAUAAAUACUGAUACAGGGCUCUUUUGGGUCUUGUAAUUGGAAUGAGUACAAUUUAAACCUCUUAACGAGGAACAAUUGGAGGGCAAGUCUGGUGCCAGCAGCCGCGGUAAUUCCAGCUCCAAUAGCGUAUAUUAAAGUUGUUGCAGUUAAAAAGCUCGUAGUUGAAACUUGGGUCUGGCUGGCAGGUCCGCCUCACCGCGUGUACUUGUCCGGCCGGGCCUUCCUUCUGGAGAACCUCAUGCCCUUCACUGGGCGUGUUGGGGACCAGGACUUUUACUUUGAAAAAAUUAGAGUGUUCAAAGCAGGCCUUUGCUCGAAUACGUUAGCAUGGAAUAAUAGAAUAGGACGUGCGGUCCUAUUUUGUUGGUUUCUAGGACCGCCGUAAUGAUUAAUAGGGACAGUCGGGGGCAUCAGUAUUCAAUUGUCAGAGGUGAAAUUCUUGGAUUUAUUGAAGACUAACUACUGCGAAAGCAUUUGCCAAGGAUGUUUUCAUUAAUCAGUGAACGAAAGUUAGGGGAUCGAAGACGAUCAGAUACCGUCGUAGUCUUAACCGUAAACUAUGCCGACUAGGGAUCGGGCGAUGUUCUUUUUCUGACUCGCUCGGCACCUUACGAGAAAUCAAAG
This 1019-nucleotide ribosomal RNA is filed under the name Plenodomus collinsoniae. RNAcentral's name for it is "SSU rRNA". It matches the Rfam family "Eukaryotic small subunit ribosomal RNA", at positions 74 to 1103 of the family's 1831-position model. The record is from RNAcentral. RNAcentral also lists the same sequence under 1 other name. Lineage: Eukaryota; Fungi; Ascomycota; Dothideomycetes; Pleosporales; Leptosphaeriaceae.